GCUAAAAGAGGUAUUAAAAAUGUAAUUUUUAAUUAUUAAUUGUCUUGUUCUCCAUUUUAAUGUUGGUUUUAAGAUUAUUUAGGGAAAUAAUUCCAUAUUUUUAAUUAAAAUGAUAUUGCCACAAAUGGCUUAUAGGUUGUUUACUAGAAUGUGAAGUUCUAGAAUAGAGGUACAGUAAUUUCAGUAGAAUUAAGUAUAUGAAAUAAGAUAUUAUUAAAUUGGUUAGUCAAUAUUUAAGUCAAAUAAUAGUUAAGCUAAUGCUUAAUAUUACAUAUGGACUCGUUUGUAACGCUCCAUGAAACGAAUGUGUACCAAAUGACGACAAUUGACGUAAUUAUUCCAGAAAUAAUGAGGAAAAUAUCCAGAAUGAAUGCAGGAAGUGAAAUCCGCUGCUUAAAUAGUGUUAGAUGAAAUAAUGCAGGAAGAAUAAUACUGAUUGGAACGCAAAAUAAACCUCCAACAAGAUUUACAAAGUUUCCAAGUGAGUUAAUAAGAAAGAAACCAAUCAUACAGCAAAUUAUGCUCAAUAUUAUUACAAUGGCUGAAGGUGCUGCUUUCACAAAGUAACUUGAUAAUUUGUUAUUUGAAUUAUCAAUUGUAAACGAAAUUGAUCCACUUGGUUGCCUAAGAAGGAUUUUUGAGCCUAAUUUUGAAUUGAUGGAAUUUGGACUCAAAUUUUCUUUUCCAGGAGAAUUGGUUUGAGAAGUUAUUGGAGUGUUUAAUUUACUCGAAGUUUUUUGAAUGCUAAGUUGUCUAACUUGUUCAGCUGGUGUAAUAAAUUCCAGAAUUUUAUUUUUGUUAUGUUUCUUCCAAUAAUUGUCAAUAUAUUUUGUGAAAAUCUCUUUUACAGGAAAGAUCAUUAGUGGAAAUGAAAGUAAAAUCGAAAUAGCAAAGAAUAUCUGACCUGACAUAGCACCUGCUGUAAUCGGAAGGUUCAAGGUAAUAGUAGAAAAAGUAUUUUCACCAUAUCCAAAUGCUGAAACAAAAGCAAAUGAUGUGGCAAGCAUAAAAACAAAAGUUAUUGCCACAACAUAUACCCAGGUAAAUCUUCUUCUGGCGUUGUAAUCUGCAAUUGAAACAUAAUAAGAUACUACAACAGGACCAGAUACCCACAAAAAAGCAGCAGUGCCAACCAAACCUGCAAUUGAUUCUAAAUCUGUGAAAUCUGAGAUUUUAGCCAUAGUAUUAUUUGAAAUAUUUGAUGCAAGUUCUAAAGCAGAGUAGGCAAAUACUGUUACCAAACCGAUGAGAAGUGCAAUAUUCGCCAUAAUCAUCGCUGGGCCCAAUGACUGAAUUCUACCAAAACAGGACAUAGGAAUGUAUACGAUGAGCUGAAUAAAGGUAAUUAGUGCUGUACCAUAUUCUAUAUACGCAGGCGCACAAUCAUGAAUGCCAGAUAUUACAUUUUGUAUAGCUUUGGUUACAAAAGUAACAAAUACUGCGCAAAAUGAUAACUGUGUAAAUGUAAUUGAAAUAUCAGCCAGAAUUCGUCCAGUCUUCCCCAUCGCUGCAGAUGCAAUACCUGAAUAUGUGUCAUUAACUUCAUCAGCGCAUUUAAACAUUAAAAUGGUGCAAAUAACAUUUAAUAACCAAUAAACCAAAAUGAUUACAAUACUUAAGACAUAGCCUGAAUUAACAAUUGCAAAAGGAGCAAAGAGUAUUCCUGUACCAACAGUUGCUUUUACUACUGUUACAAAUCCAAUAAGCAUUUGUAUCCAUAUUUCUGAUUCUUUAAGUGGAACUUCAACUACUCGUUUUUCACCAUAGUUUUGAUUAUUUGAAUUGCUUGAAAUUAUUAUUGCUGAAUUCAGUGAAGAUGAUUUGUAAGAGCCGCAUUUUUGUGAGUCAACAAUGGACGAGUCUUCUUUCGUUUCAUUUGUAUUACUCUCUAAAUCACCCUCAUUUUUAAUAUUUCUAUUUUUUAGCUCUAUAUGCAUAUUUGGCUACCCCAAAUAAUACUUAGAAAAAAAAAUUAGAUCCUUAAUUAGUUGCUUAUAUUCCAAUUUUCCACCUUCCGGUUUAAAUUAUG
RNAcentral lists this non-coding RNA (2029 nucleotides) under Cryptosporidium parvum. Lineage: Eukaryota; Apicomplexa; Conoidasida; Eucoccidiorida; Cryptosporidiidae. The record is from RNAcentral.